This 23-nucleotide unclassified non-coding RNA is filed under the name Mus musculus (house mouse). RNAcentral's name for it is "oocyte_clustered_small_RNA11504". The record is from RNAcentral. Lineage: Eukaryota; Metazoa; Chordata; Mammalia; Rodentia; Muridae.
AGUGGGUGCGAGCGUUGUUGUUG